GGACAGAUGGCUGCAGAGCAUCAACAGUGUGGCUACAAGGCGGACGAGGCAUCGCUGGUUUGGUGAAGAAGAGCUGACUUGGAAUUGGAGAAGAAGGCAGUGGUGAUCUCAUUUUUUUAAUCUUCACCCAAGAUACAUGCAUGAGAAGGAAGACUCCUGCUGUUAGGCUCCAUCCAUGACGGGGAGCCUCUGUUUCUUGAUUGCUCAUUGUUUAAGCUGGUCGAUUUGUUUAUCUCUGACUUCCCUUCUUUCCUUUUGUAUUUAUCUCUCGGGUAGAUCUUGUAGUCAAUAAAGACCGCAUCUUUGGCCUCUGUUUGAUGUGUGCCUGAGCCAUGAUCUUCUUGCAGAUGCUAUUCCAUCCAUCGGUUGCUAGCUGAAACCUUGAGGUGGGUUUUCUAGAUUCAGAUUUGUUGCCUGGCCUUGCACUAUGGUUGUUAUAUUCUAUGUGGGUUGGAUGGUUCUCUGUAUGACAGAUGCUUCCUUGCAUGAAGAUUCUCGAUUGUUUAUUUCUGGCGCACGCCAUCUAUCUCGAUCUGAUGGUAGCUAUCUUCCUUUGAUCUGCUUGUGUACAUGCUAUUACAUGCGUUUGACUCACCUAUUUUGUAUUGAGCAGAUGUUACAUGCUCAAUUAGUGGUACAUACUGUGUACUGAUGCUUGCAAUGGUUUUUUUUAAUGUUGUGUAGUGAUUUUUGUUACUUUAAUUUUUUGUGGUUUGUAAGCCUCCCGAUUCUAAUUGAAAUAACCUCAUAUCAAUACUGUCGGUGUUAGUUUCCUCGCUGAUAAUGUGGUACCUAUUCAGUCAGAAUUUUCCUGGAAGAGUAAAACUGGAUGACUACAAUUUUAGUGUCCGGCAUGUGUUUUGUAUUGUUUACCAGAGCCUAUGUUAGUUAACUCAAAUUAGAAUUAUGCCUUUUAAAUUAUGUGACACAUCUUCUUCCUCUACACUAAGAUAAUUCAUGUAUUAUAAGCAGAAUAAUGCAAAAUCUAAUUUUACUGGAGUCCUUUCUCUGGUUUCAUGACUUCAUGGCUUUCGAAACAUGUGGUCCAACACCAAGAAUCAUUCCUCUUAAUGUUUAAUUUUGUGAAAUGUUAGCUGCAGUAGUUUUACCGAUAAUGGAAGGGUCUGAGUACUUCCAUUGGCAAAAAAUGUGAAGUGAAUCUCAAGAUAGCUUUGCUCUUUGUAUCAUUGUCAAUUUCUUUAUUUCCUUUGGAAAUGACAAAAUGGUGUUUGUUUUUGCAGCUUGCAGAAAUUCUUAGUAAGGGAAGAUUGGUUAAUAAAUGAAUUUGCCAGUCCAUAUUUGAACGGCGCUUGAUUGUUUCUACCAAUUUUUUUACUGGAAUUGAUUGCUGUAUACCAAAGUCUUCUGCUUAUAACUUCACGGUAUGUUCUGCAGGUUUGCUAAGUUAUGGAAAGUUAUUUUUUAUCUAUUGAAUUUAGAUCCGUGAGACUUUUGUUGAAGCUGAUAAGGUUAUAAUUAAAAUUUCCGACUAAUGGAUCAUCAUUUGUAAUUCCUUUUUAGAAUGUGUUUACUAUCAAGUGGUAUCAUGUAAAUGUAUUCAGAACAAAAAGGACUAGCUUCUUUGCGGGAGCAUGUUUCAAUUCUUCGCUUAACAUUUUCACUGAAACCUUGGUUUUGAUAAGAAAAUCUUUCUAUUUAUGGUUUUGGUAGUUAAGUUGAAGUUCAAUAAAGAAUAUGACCUGAGUUGGACAGAAAGUGUUGAGCAGGUACGUAAUCAUCCUGAUAGAAAUAAUAAACUCACCUCUACUUCAGUUGUUACUUUCAUCCUUCCUGUUUACUGCAUACUCUGUUUUUAGAAGCAACUCAAGCCCACUUUUUUCUUACGGUGUUUUAUGGUGUUGUGGAGUAGUGUUUCAUAAGAUAUUUAAUGGUUCAAGAUUGUUUAUGUUUUAACUCUACACUGAGAUAUAUGCUUUUUUUGGCAGCCGCUGAGAUAUAUGAUUUAAUUUCACUUGGGGAGGAGAAGAGAACAGAAAGAGGCAGAUCUAUGGGAAAAUUCCGAAAUACAUGUAUCUGGUGAGCCUUCAAGUUCACAUGCAAUUUAGAACAUCCUACUUUAAGAAACAUACAGAUUAAAAGUAUAAAAUUAUAGCUCUUGACGAAUGAUUCACAUUCACUUACCCUCACCAGCAUGUUUGUGUGUUACUUUUAUAGAAACACAAAGCUGUUGGUACUUUUUUUUCCCCAAAAAGAGGUUGGACCCAUGGCCUCUGGAUCAAAGUUGUUGGUCCUAAUGUCUUAUUGUUUUAGUUCCCCUAAUUUGUGACACAACUUGUAGACUAGGGUCACCUAUCACACAUAAUCAAUUUGUAUUAUUAAAAAACUGAGAACUGUUAUGCUCCUUUCAUUUUUGUCAUUAUCGUAGCAUGUUAAUUAGGAACCAGAAGAAACACAUGAAUUUGCUCAUAGCACAUUCUCUAUUUUCCGAUCUGUUAUGUAAUUUCGAGUUUGUGCUUUAGCAUGUUCAUUAGGAACCUGAAGAAACACAUGAAUUUGCUUAUAGCAUAUUCUCUCUUUUCUGAUCUUUUAUGUAAUUUUGAGUUUGUGCUUUUGCAAAUUUGAUCUCAUGUAUGUGAGGAAAGUUUUCUGGGCCAGACCUCCAUACCGCUAUCACCACUACUUUCAUCUUUCCUUUUCUUCGUCAUGUUGCUUGCAUACCUCUGCUUCAGAAACAAGCCAGGAGCCAUCAUUUUUACCAGCUGUCUAUUUGUUUCAUACUAGGAAAAAUGCAUUAGAUAAAUUUAAUGGUUUCAAGGGUGGCACAGGUGCACAACUAUUGUUUCAGGUUCGGCUUUCCGAUCAUUGAUUUCCCAUCUAUUACCUUCCUCUUCAGUGAUAUACAAUCCCAUAUAUCCCUUAUAUAUACAUCUCCUUCUGGUUCUUGCCAAUCUCUACUCGCUUUUAGAUUCCGGGGCUUUAGGAUAGCAGUAAUAUAAAAAUGUACCAAUUUCAUUUACAUAUGGUUUUCUAACCAGCAGCAAUUGGUAAGAAUUGAACCCAAGGACAAGUACUCUGAGGUAAUGUAGAGUUCUGUUUCUCAACGAAGGAGCUAUAUCCAAGUACCAGUACUGUUAAGUCUUAGGAAUUGAAUACAAGGUCACCAUCUAAGAUGAUCUGGUUAGUACACUUUUGCAUGUAGGGGAGGAUCCUUGCGCAAGGCCGUUUCUCUUUACCCCGCAGUUCUUUAUUUAAUUUUUAUGAUGUAAGUUAGGCGCUAUAACAGGGAAUAUCAUUUCUUGAUAUUAGACCAAUGGACACAACAGAAAUAUGUUGACUUCUUCUUUUAGUGUUUAGGCAUUUGUGCAUUUACAUUCGGUUGAAUUAUGUGCUAUGUUAUGUGCUAUGGAAUAUACAUUAGCUGGUGUUA
Molecule: long non-coding RNA, 3388 nt
Organism: Lolium perenne
Lineage: Eukaryota; Viridiplantae; Streptophyta; Magnoliopsida; Poales; Poaceae
Source: RefSeq, a predicted model, not a curated record